Molecule: ribosomal RNA, 425 nt
Filed under: uncultured bacterium
Lineage: Bacteria
Description: bacterial SSU rRNA
Rfam family: Bacterial small subunit ribosomal RNA
Source: RNAcentral
UCGAGAAUCUUCGUCAAUGGGCGAAAGCCUGAACGAGCGACGCCGCGUGCGGGAUGAAGGCCCUUGGGUUGUAAACCGCUGUCGAGGGGGAUGAAGGCUUGAAGGUACUCCUUCAAGUUUGACAGAGCCCUGGAGGAAGCACGGGCUAAGUUCGUGCCAGCAGCCGCGGUAAUACGAACUGUGCGAACGUUAUUCGGAAUCACUGGGCUUACAGGGUGCGUAGGCGGCUAUUCAGGUCAGGUGUGAAAGCCCCCGGCUCAACCGGGGAACUGCGCUUGAAACCGAAUGGCUCGAGUCAGCUAGAGGUACACGGAACUUCCAGUGGAGCGGUGAAAUGUGUUGAUAUUGGAAGGAACACCGGAGGCGAAAGCGGUGUACUGGGGCUGGUCUGACGCUGAGGCACGAAAGCCAGGGGAGCGAACGGG